Molecule: ribosomal RNA, 427 nt
Filed under: uncultured prokaryote
Description: bacterial SSU rRNA
Rfam family: Bacterial small subunit ribosomal RNA
Source: RNAcentral
UGGGGAAUUUUGGACAAUGGGCGCAAGCCUGAUCCAGCCAUGCCGCGUGAGUGAAGAAGGCCUUCGGGUUGUAAAGCUCUUUUGUCAGGGAAGAAAUGCUUUGGGCUAAUACCCUGGGGUGAUGACGGUACCUGAAGAAUAAGCACCGGCUAAAUACGUGCCAGCAGCCGCGGUAAUACGUAGGGUGCGAGCGUUAAUCGGAAGUACUGGGCGUAAAGCGUGCGCAGGCGGUUUUGUAAGUCAGAUGUGAAAUCCCCGGGCUCAACCUGGGAACUGCAUUUGAGACUGCAAGGCUAGAGUGGAGCAGAGGGGGGGAGAAUUCCACGUGUAGCGGUGAAAUGCGUAGAGAUGGGGAGGAAUACCGAUGGUGAAGGCAGCCCCCUGGGUUACUACUGACGCUCAUGCACGAAAGCGUGGGGAGCAAACA